GCAUAUCAAUAAGCGGAGGAAAAGAAACCAACAGGGAUUGCCCCUAGUAACGGCGAGUGAAGCGGCAACAGCUCAAAUUUGAAAUCUGGCUCUUUUAGGGUCCGAGUUGUAAUUUGCAGAGGGCGCUUUGGCGUUGGCAGCGGUCCAAGUUCCUUGGAACAGGACGUCACAGAGGGUGAGAAUCCCGUACGUGGUCGCUGGCCUUCGCCGUGUAAAGCCUCUUCGACGAGUCGAGUUGUUUGGGAAUGCAGCUCUAAAUGGGAGGUAAAUUUCUUCUAAAGCUAAAUACUGGCCAGAGACCGAUAGCGCACAAGUAGAGUGAUCGAAAGAUGAAAAGCACUUUGGAAAGAGAGUCAAAUAGCACGUGAAAUUGUUAAAAGGGAAGCGCUUGCAGCCAGACUUGCCCGUAGUUGCUCAUCCAGGCUUUUGCCUGGUGCAUUCUUCUAUGGGCAGGCCAGCAUCAGUUUGGGCGGUUGGAUAAAGGUCUCUGUCAUGUACCUCCUUUUGGGGAGGCCUUAUAGGGGAGACGACAUGCAACCAGCCUGGACUGAGGUCCGCGCAUUCGCUAGGAUGCUGGCGUAAUGGCUGUAAGCGGCCCGUCUUGAAACACGGACCAAGGAGUCUAACAUCUAUGCGAGUGUUUGGGUGUCAAGCCCGAACGCGCAAUGAAAGUGAACGGAGGUGGGAACCCUUAAGGGUGCACCAUCGACCGAUCCUGAUGUCUUCGGAAGGAUUUGAGUAAGAGCAUAGCUGUUGGGACCCGAAAGAUGGUGAACUAUGCUUGAAUAGGGUGAAGCCAGAGGAAAACUCUGGUGGAGGCUCGCAGCGGUUUCUGACGUGCAAAUCGAUCGUCAAAUUUGGGCAUAGGGGCGAAAGACUAAUCGAACUAUCUAGUAGCUGUUCUGCGAG
Molecule: ribosomal RNA, 909 nt
Filed under: Leptosphaeria sydowii
Lineage: Eukaryota; Fungi; Ascomycota; Dothideomycetes; Pleosporales; Leptosphaeriaceae
Description: LSU rRNA
Rfam family: Eukaryotic large subunit ribosomal RNA
Source: RNAcentral